UAAUCAAUUGUAAGGAUAAACCACAUUUUGCUUAGUCAGUCAUCAGUCAACGGACACUUGGGUUGUUUCUCCUUUUUUUGGCUAUAAUGAAUAAUGCUGCUUAUGAACAUUCCUGCCCAAUUUUUUGUAUGGACAUAUGUUUUCAAUUCUCUUGGAUAUAUCUAGAAGUGGGGUUGCUAGGCUGGCUCAAAUCUUAAAUAAACAUUUCUAAUGGUCUUCAUUCUUAUCUAUUUCCCAGGGAGCAGGUUUCUCCAUGCUCACUGAACAAAAGGGAAUGACCAACAGCAGGACCUUCUUCACCAAGUCCUGGAAAUAGCACCUGCUUUUCCAAGUCAGAUACAAAGCCCAAACACCUCCACUGUAAACAAUAUGCGGCUCCGAAGGGCUGUGGCAGACCAGGACUGGGACAAGUCACUGCAGUGACUCACAGUUAAAAGCAUCUUGCAGCUGCCAGAGGAGGUAUGUAGAAACAACCUUUUCUUAUAAACAAAGGAACAUUUCCACUUAUGUCAUUCUCCGCUUAUAACUGAUUCUUUGAAAUCUAGUCCUUCAUAGCCUGUCAAGGAUCUUGGACUAUGAUCUCUGAUGGUAUGCGUAGCAUGGAAUAAGCAGUUUACAACCUUGGAAUCCUAAAUUGCCCUUUCCCUACCAUCCACCCACUGCAGGUUCCCAUUUAUAACUGAAGUCUGCCCUCUUCUGGUCUUAGGCAGCUCAGCCCCACACCACAGAGCUGCUCGGCAGGUUUCUUACAAAAUCAUAUCUUCUCCAGGAACAUUUUGGAAAUUGCUACAAUUUAUUUAGCUAUAGCAAUAUGGAGAGCAUACAUCUGCAGAGCAUACCUCUUUUAUUUUUUACUUUUUGAUGUUUGUGGGUUUUUUCCUUUAUUCAAUAGUAGCAGGAUUGAGCCAGUUUCAGUUAUAUUUAUGAGCCACUCUCAUCUAUGAUAAAUAACCAUAUUUGUGCAGUGCCUGCCCAGGCCCUUCUGCUCCUACUGACUCCUGAGUCACUAAAAUACUUUCCUAUGGUAGGAGUGGACAAGAGCUGUUCGAGACAGGAGGUACUGCAAUUUACAGGCUGUCAGCUGUCCAGUAACUUUCCAGAGGUGGUUUGUAGACUGAGUGAUUUUCCAGGCACAGGAUGGGCUCAUAGAUUCAGAGACACGGCCUCAGUGAUCUCAUGCCCCAGGAACAUGAUAGUGUGUUGUCCAGAGUUACUUCUGGUGGCCUCUCAGAUCUUGAACUACCAGACAAUCAAAUCCAUGAUUGAUGGCACCAAGGGAACAACCAAAAGGAACUGAUGUACAAAGGAGCCUGCUCAAUCCAAUGAAGUAAAAACAUUAGCUGCUACUUUUGAGAAGACUUAAGCUGAUGCCUUGCUGCUGCUGCUGCUGCUGCUGCUGCUGCUGCUAAGUCACUUCAGUCGUGUCCAACUCUGUGCGACCCCGUAGACAGCUGCCCACCAGGCUCUCCCGUCCCUGGGAUUCUCCAGGCAAGAACACUGGAGUGGGUUGCCAUUUCCUUCUCCAAUGCAUGAAAGUGAAAAGUGAAAGUGAAGUCACUCAGUCGUGUCCGACCUUCAGCGACCCCAUGGACUGCAGCCUUCCAGGCUCCUCCGUCCAUGGGAUUUUCCAGGCAAGAGUACUGGAGUGGGGUGCCAUUGCCUUCUCCAAAGCUCAUGCCUUACAUUGAGUCAUUUCUGGAUGAGGCUGUCAUAUGUCACAUUCCUAGACCCACAUUCUAGGAACCAAGUCAUUACUUUUGGGCUCCUCUGUUGACAUAAAUUCUUCCCCUUCAGCCGGAUCUGGAAUAUUUGGCACCAACAACAAACCUGGGCACCCAUGUGGCUCCAGAGCCACAGUUCUUUCUGUGUUGACUCUUCUGUGAAUGCUGGUCCAAGUCCCAGAGGUGAACUGUUAUCCUGGUUUCCCCUCAUAAGUUCUGACUUAUUGUCCUGCCUGUAUUUCUGCUUCUUCCUCUAGCACUAGGUACUCUCCCCAGCUUCAUCCAUCCUUGUCCCUUCUUUCUGCCAGCUGAAGUUACCUGCCGUGCCAGGCCACGGAAUGAUUCUGUCAUAGGACAGGCACACUUGCCUUAUUGGACACUCAUAUUGUUUCCUGUUCACUUAAGUCGGGGCUUCCCUGGUAGCUCACAUGGUAAAGAAUCUGCCUGCAAAUGCAGGAGACCCAGGUUCAAUCCUUGGGUCUGGAAGUUCCCCUGGAGAAGGGAAUGGCAGCUCAGUCUUGUAUUCUUCCCUGCAGAAUUCCGUGGACAGAGGAGCCUGGCAGGUUACAGUCCAUGGGGUCCCAAAGAGUCAGACACAACUGAGCAACUAACAACUUCA
Molecule: long non-coding RNA, 2340 nt
Organism: Bos indicus x Bos taurus (hybrid cattle)
Lineage: Eukaryota; Metazoa; Chordata; Mammalia; Artiodactyla; Bovidae
Source: Ensembl